RNAcentral lists this ribosomal RNA (492 nucleotides) under uncultured bacterium. Its description in RNAcentral is "partial 16S ribosomal RNA". It matches the Rfam family "Bacterial small subunit ribosomal RNA", at positions 29 to 507 of the family's 1533-position model. The record is from RNAcentral.
AGUGAACGCUGGCGGUAGGCCUAACACAUGCAAGUCGAACGGCAGCACAGUAAGAGCUUGCUCUUACGGGUGGCGAGUGGCGGACGGGUGAGGAAUACAUCGGAAUCUACUUUUUCGUGGGGGUUAACGUAGGGAAACUUACGCUAAUACCGCAUCCGACCUACGGGUGAAAGCAGGGGAUCUUCGCACCUUGCGCGAUUGAAUGAGCGGAUGUCGGAUUAGCUAGUUGGCGGGGUAAAGACCCACCAAGGCGACGAUCGGUAGCUGGUCUGAGAGGAUGAUCAGCCACACUGGAACUUAAACACGGUCCAGACUCCUACGGUAGGCAGCAGUGUGCAAUAUUGGACAAUGGUCGCAAGCCUUAUCCAACCAUACCGCGUGUGUUAAGAAAGCCUUCCGUUUGUAAAGCCCUUUUUUUGGUAAAGAAAAGCAUCAGCUUAAUACCCCGCUUUUCUGACGGUACCCAAAAAAUAAGCACCGGCUAACUUCGUG